This is a long non-coding RNA of Alligator mississippiensis (American alligator), 996 nucleotides long. RefSeq lists it as uncharacterized. The transcript has 2 exons. The record is from RefSeq and is a predicted model, not a curated record. NCBI's taxonomy places the organism in Eukaryota, Metazoa, Chordata, Crocodylia, Alligatoridae.
AUUGCACUGCUUCGAACUCCCACUGCUGACAACCUGGGUACAGAAACAAUGUCUCAUGACCAGCAGCAGAUCAAGCAGCCAUUCCAGCCACCACCAGAGAGCUCCCAGCUGUGUCCUCCUCUGAAAUUCCUGGAAAGCUGCCCUUCUGCUCCACCAAAAUGCCCAGAGCCGGCCCCACCUCCUCCCAAGGGCCCAGAGCCAUCUCCUCAGCCCCCCAUGAUGCCCACCUGCUGAGAAGGGCCACAUGGCCAAGCCGUUCUAGCCGGCACUGUGAACCAAACGGCAGAAUCUGCAACAGCACAAUCUUGCUUCUCUUAUUCCUGAAUCAGGACCUCUCAUUGCAUCAGGCUCACCCCCCUUCCCUGUGUCUGUUUCUACAGCUUUUAUCCCCUCUCAGGCAGUAAGCUGGACUUGAACAUUGGGUGUCACCAUACCAUUUGUUUCGGGCAAAUGUACAGCACAAGUUAUCCCCUGUUUCUCAAUGCGCUCCUUAAAUGCCUAAUUACCCGUUUCAUAAACAUCUUGAGAUAGACCCAGCUAAAACCAGGAACCGAUCAAGGCUGAAAACUAGGGUUGCCAACUCUAUUUAAAUCUAUUCUGGGAGGUUUCCAGAGUGCCAGUGUGCCUGCCACACAACACGGAUGUGCCCACGUGCUUGCAUAUAUUGGUGACAGAUUACAAAGAGUAGACUUUACAUCCAGAAGGCAAAUGUGCAUGACUCUUGUACCAUCAUCUUGCACAUGCAUCAUCAAAGAGCUACUCAACACAGCUCACAAAGACACUCUCAUGGACCCAGAGGGACAGACUUCCAUCUUCAGCUCCCUCUGUGCAGAAAUGAAGUUUAUUUCCUACUUAUGGGGACUUUUUACCAUCUUGUACCAUCUACACUUUUCCUGGAGCCUGAUGAAGGGACUUUGAUCCCAAAAACUUGCAGAAAGGGACAGUUUUCUUGCCAUUUUCCAGUUGGUCUAAUAAAAGGUAUCAUUUUGGAACUAA